This is a long non-coding RNA of Acyrthosiphon pisum (pea aphid), 1070 nucleotides long. RefSeq lists it as uncharacterized. The transcript is spliced from 2 exons. The record is from RefSeq and is a predicted model, not a curated record. Lineage: Eukaryota; Metazoa; Arthropoda; Insecta; Hemiptera; Aphididae.
CCCUAGACUAAUAACUUAGUUAUAACUACCUAGUACCUGCCUAAUAAUUUAUUACUGUUAUUGACUCUCAGUAAUAAAUAAUAAUCCGCUAUAUCCAGUAAUCCGGCAACAUUUUUGUUAUAAUAACCAUAAAAUUACUAUCGUAAACGAUAAGGCCGUUGACGCCCGGUGUCACACAUGCGGAUAUUCACAGCGGACAGACCGCGGCAGAAUUUCCGCAACAUCGAACUAUCGAAGUAUGCUGCGGAAUUAUUUUGACUUUAUUAUUAUUAUUAUUCACGUGUAUUUACGAACAACGUGUUUUGAUAUUAUAUUCUGCGGAAUCCAAGGGUCAAUUGUUCCGCAAGUGUGACACCCGCGGUCAAAAGUAACUGAUUAAGUCCGAAUAAACCGAUAAGAUAUUUUAUUUUUAUUCAUCGUUGACGUGUUGAUUGUGUAUUGUGAAUCGGUUAGUUAUUGUGUUUGUAUACUUGUUAUACGUGUUAAAUUACAAUAUUUCAGGUUUUUAGGUUUUACAAUAAGUAAAAAUGUGUUUUUAUGUGAACCUCCAAUAAUCCGGCAGUCCUCACUCCUCUAGUCUAACGAGAUUUGUAAUAGCAUCAGUCAUCACCAUAUAUUAUAGAAUGAUGCAGGCCCAUGGUAUCCGGUACCUAUGUAUCUCAGACACUGCUGAGCAUACUUUGUGCUAAUGCCCGAGAUGGGACAUAAUGAGGGCUGACACACACAUGCGAUUUGGGUGCCCUUUGACUGCAGUCAAUAUGCCAGAUCUACUUUGUGGACCUAUGUUUCGGACCUUCCCACUGACAUGACCGAGUGGUUUCCGCAACAGUCUGAAGAAUCUUACGGAGUGUUCUAUCAGUCAGAAGUGGAAAUCUUGUUCAUCAAGUAGGAUGAGGUAACACGUGGAGAGACAGAUUAGAUGAAACUAACCUAUUGUUGUUAAUUUAUUUUUAUCAUAUAGAAAUUAUGUAAGCUUUGACCACCACAGUGUAUGCAUUAUGUAUAUGUAUGAUGAUUUUGUAUAAUUUUCUGGUACUUAUUGUACAAUAAAUGAUGUGACUAAAGUGGAA